GACAGAGGUGCCAAGCGUUAGGCGGAAUCACUGGGCUUAAAGCGUGUGUAGGUGGAUCGUUAAGUGCUUUGUGAAAUCCCACGGCUCAACCGUGGAAUUGCUGGGCAUACUGGCGGUCUUGAGCCAUUCAGGGGCUACUGGAACAAACGGUGGAGCGGUGAAAUGCGUAGAUAUCGUUUGGAACGCCAAAGGUGAAAACAGGUAGCUGGGGAUGUGCUGACACUGAGACACGAAAGCCAGGGGAGCAAACGGG
This 253-nucleotide ribosomal RNA is filed under the name uncultured bacterium. RNAcentral describes it as "partial 16S ribosomal RNA". It matches the Rfam family "Bacterial small subunit ribosomal RNA", at positions 524 to 776 of the family's 1533-position model. The record is from RNAcentral.